CAGUGAAACUGCGAAUGGCUCAUUAAAUCAGUUAUCGUUUAUUUGAUAGUACCUUUACUACUUGGAUAACCGUGGUAAUUCUAGAGCUAAUACAUGCUAAAAAUCCCGACUGUUUGGAAGGGAUGUAUUUAUUAGAUAAAAAAUCAAUGCUCUUUGAGCUCUUUGAUGAUUCAUAAUAACUUUUCGAAUCGCAUGGCCUUGUGCUGGCGAUGGUUCAUUCAAAUUUCUGCCCUAUCAACUUUCGAUGGUAGGAUAGUGGCCUACCAUGGUUUCAACGGGUAACGGGGAAUAAGGGUUCGAUUCCGGAGAGGGAGCCUGAGAAACGGCUACCACAUCCAAGGAAGGCAGCAGGCGCGCAAAUUACCCAAUCCCGACACGGGGAGGUAGUGACAAUACAUAACGAUACAGGGCCCUUUCGGGUCUUGUAAUUGGAAUGAGUACAAUGUAAAUACCUUAACGAGGAACAAUUGGAGGGCAAGUCUGGUGCCAGCAGCCGCGGUAAUUCCAGCUCCAAUAGCGUAUAUUAAAGUUGUUGCAGUUAAAAAGCUCGUAGUUGAACUUUGGGCUUGGUUGGCCGGUCCGCCUUUUUGGCGAGUACUGGACCCAACCGAGCCUUUCCUUCUGGCUAACCAUUCGCCCUUGUGGUGUUUGGCGAACCAGGACUUUUACUUUGAAAAAAUUAGAGUGUUCAAAGCAGGCCUUUGCUCGAAUAUAUUAAGCAUGGGAAUAAUAGAAUAAGGAAGUUAUGGGUUCUAUUUUGGUGGGUUUCUAGGAACCAUCGUAAUGAUUAAAUAAGGGACCGGUCGGGGGGCAUCAGUAUUUCAGUUGUCAGAAGGUGAAAAUUCUUAGAAUUUACUGGAGAACUAACUACUGGCGAAAAGCAUUUGGCCAAGGAACGUUUUUCAUUAAUCCAGAAACGAA
This 921-nucleotide ribosomal RNA is filed under the name Meyerozyma athensensis. Its description in RNAcentral is "SSU rRNA". It matches the Rfam family "Eukaryotic small subunit ribosomal RNA", at positions 79 to 987 of the family's 1831-position model. The record is from RNAcentral. Lineage: Eukaryota; Fungi; Ascomycota; Pichiomycetes; Serinales; Debaryomycetaceae.